GAUGAACGCUGGCGGCGUGCCUAAUACAUGCAAGUCGAGCGAACAGACGAGGAGCUUGCUCCUCUGACGUUAGCGGCGGACGGGUGAGUAACACGUGGAUAACCUACCUAUAAGACUGGGAUCACUUCGGGAAACCGGAGCUAAUACCGGAUAAUAUAUUGAACCGCAUGGUUCAAUAGUGAAAGACGGUUUUGCUGUCACUUAUAGAUGGAUCCGCGCCGCAUUAGCUAGUUGGUAAGGUAACGGCUUACCAAGGCAACGAUGCGUAGCCGACCUGAGAGGGUGAUCGGCCACACUGGAACUGAGACACGGUCCAGACUACUACGGGAGGCAGCAGUAGGGAAUCUUCCGCAAUGGGCGAAAGCCUGACGGAGCAACGCCGCGUGAGUGAUGAAGGUCUUCGGAUCGUAAAACUCUGUUAUUAGGGAAGAACAAAUGUGUAAGUAACUAUGCACGUCUUGACGGUACCUAAUCAGAAAGCCACGGCUAACUACGUG
Molecule: ribosomal RNA, 497 nt
Filed under: uncultured bacterium
Lineage: Bacteria
Description: partial 16S ribosomal RNA
Rfam family: Bacterial small subunit ribosomal RNA
Source: RNAcentral